RNAcentral lists this ribosomal RNA (253 nucleotides) under uncultured bacterium. RNAcentral describes it as "partial 16S ribosomal RNA". It matches the Rfam family "Bacterial small subunit ribosomal RNA", at positions 524 to 776 of the family's 1533-position model. The record is from RNAcentral.
UACGUAGGGUGCGAGCGUUAAUCGGAAUUACUGGGCGUAAAGUGUGCGCAGGCGGCCGCGCAAGUCGAGUGUGAAAGCCCCGAGCUUAACUUGGGAAUUGCGCUCGAAACUACGUGGCUGGAGUGUGGCAGAGGAAGGUGGAAUUCCACGUGUAGCGGUGAAAUGCGUAGAGAUGUGGAGGAACACCGAUGGCGAAGGCAGCCUUCUGGGCCAACACUGACGCUUAUGCACGAAAGCGUGGGGAGCAAACAGG